GACGAACGCUGGCGGCGUGCCUAACACAUGCAAGUCGAGCGGAGUCGAUCGACGGAAGCCUUCGGGCGGAAGAUGGUUGACUUAGCGGCGGAUGGGUGAGUAACGCGUGGGCAACCUGCCUCGAAGACCGGGAUAACAGCCCGAAAGGGCUGCUAAUACCGGAUGUGGUCAAGGAUCCGCAUGGAUUUUUGAUUAAAGGGGAAACCCGUUUCGAGAUGGGCCCGCGUCCUAUCAGCUAGUUGGUGAGGUAAAAGCUCACCAAGGCGACGACGGGUAGCCGGCCUGAGAGGGUGACCGGCCACACUGGAACUGAGACACGGUCCAGACUCCUACGGGGGCAGCAGUGGGGAAUCUUCCACAAUGGGCGAAAGCCUGAUGGAGCGACGCCGCGUGAGCGAAGAAGGCCUCGGGUUGUAAAGCUCUGUCUGGAGGGACGAAGGAAGUGACGGUACCUCCGGAGGAAGCCACGGCAACUACGUGCCAGCAGCCCGGUAAAGUACUCUAU
RNAcentral lists this ribosomal RNA (505 nucleotides) under uncultured bacterium. Its description in RNAcentral is "bacterial SSU rRNA". It matches the Rfam family "Bacterial small subunit ribosomal RNA", at positions 28 to 530 of the family's 1533-position model. The record is from RNAcentral.